UGUGAUUGAAAAUUACCCUGUUUUUGGUCAUGGCAGUAACUCUUGGUGAUAUUUGGCACCCAGAACCAGUGGGGUCUCAGUUUACUCACUUUUCAGUAUGGAAAUGUAAAACUCAGUUCCUGAUACAC
Small nucleolar RNA from Sorex fumeus (smoky shrew), 128 nucleotides. RefSeq annotates it as small nucleolar RNA ACA64. The record is from RefSeq and is a predicted model, not a curated record. Lineage: Eukaryota; Metazoa; Chordata; Mammalia; Eulipotyphla; Soricidae. The transcript has a single exon.